Morone saxatilis (striped sea-bass) is the source of this 4094-nucleotide long non-coding RNA. RefSeq lists it as uncharacterized. The transcript is spliced from 2 exons. The record is from RefSeq and is a predicted model, not a curated record. NCBI's taxonomy places the organism in Eukaryota, Metazoa, Chordata, Actinopteri, Moronidae.
AUAGCAAUAACAAUGACUUUAUUUUUGUUAUAAAGGUGGCAGCCAACACCUUGCCGUCCCCUCAGCACACAGGAAACUACACACACACUCUGUCUUCUCCUCAACAAGCCCCCAACUUCAACCUGCUGUCCCCCAGCCACCAGCCAAACUACGCCACCUAUAAAGAGGGCUACAACGUUUACGGCAUUGAGAGCGUCAAGAUCUAACACGGAUGAAGUUCACAGAUGCAAUGCGCUCCAAAGCUCGUCUAUCCAUCACAGGAUCAACCAGUGAGAAUGGCCGUGUCCCGGUGGCUUACCUCCGUCCAGGAUUACCCAUGAGCCUUGGCAUGACUGAUCUUUCCUGACCACGCCCAAGCCAGUGCCUUAUAGCCAAUGGAGACACAUCCUCCCUUCCCCACUGAAAGUGAAUGGAAAUGUUUGUCAUCUUGUUCGGUGGCCACUCACCAUGAGUGAUCUUCCCCGAUUUUCAAUCUGGAGCUUAGUCAAUCAUAUCUCUUUGAGGACUCCAGAUCUUUCUCUUUAACAAUUUACCUAGAUAGACUGGAUAGAUGUUGUCCUCCAACCACUUGGCUGCCAGGCUUCAGCAAAGAUCUGCCCACCUACAAAGUGAAUCACUUGACACUCAGUGAGAAAGAUGGCUGAUGAUUUACAAAUUCAUAAAAAACAAUCAAGCACAGUUGACAGUUUUCUAAACAAACACAUCAUUGUUUCUUAGAUUUUUGCCAUGGAGGCUCUUCUUGUAUAGAAAAUAAGGACAAUAGUGAUGCUGACCUAAUGCAAUAACAUUAAUCAGGGAUGUGAUUAAGAAUUGUGUAACUACUGUAAACAGUCUUUGUUAAAGUGAGUGCAAGAGCUAUGAACAAAAACAGUCGUCCUGAAAAAUCACAUCCAUGAAAUAAUAAAACAAUAGUAAUUGUGUAAUAGAAGAUAAUGAUAAUGAUGUUAUUGUUCCUAAUUGAUUUCCUUAUUUCUGCCUGAAAAUCCCUGAUUAGUAGAGUCUUUUACCAGACCCAAGAGAUGCAUGGACUGGCACACGCAUACACACACACACACACACACACAACACAUUCACAUAAAGAGAAACACUAGUACAACAGAACAUAAACAAAGCCACUAGUACUGUAUUAGGUAACAUGCACUUCACAGGGAUGGGCAAAAACAAAAUAUUUACACUUUUAUUACUUUUAUUUUGAAUCCAUUGGAACACAUCAGACUUUGGUCAACAUUUCUGACACCUAGUGGUAGCUUCAAAAAAACAAAUGCAACCUAAGGACACUGACUAGUUUGAGAGCAACACAUAAAUUGUACCAGUGUCUCCUAGAAAUUACGUUUGUAUAUUACUAAAUUGUAUUCAUAUUUACAUUAUGAUGGCAAUGAAAUUGCUGCCUGUGCUUAGUCUUAGGCAACAAAAGCACUUUUUAAGGUUAGGGAAAGAUUGUGAUAUCAGUUAAAUGUUAUUAAAAAAUCUUAUGUCUCAAAUUACUGCUGCUUUUUCUGUAUUAAAACACGCCACAGUCUUUACCUAACUAUAACCAUUAAAAAGCUGAAUAAUGCUGUAGUCACAAGAAAUAAAUAGUUACGUUCAGUAUUAGCAUUUUUGUGACUUGCCAGCUAUGUUAACUAACAAAUUUUCCUCGUUAUGGUAACCGAAAAUUACAUUUGGUCGACAAUCCACGACAGUGCUCAAAGCGUAUUUGCUGUUGCAAAUUAGUUGUAUAUAAAUGUAAAUUUGAGGAGACUAGUUUUUCAACUAAAAAAAAUUCACAAUAGUUUGAAACACAUAACAUUAAAAAAUCCUACAUCUAGUGGCUUUUAUGAAAUUUACUACACCACUCACAGAUUAAAUGGCGAAACUAAAUCUAGAACACAUUAACUGUAUUCAGACACAAAUAUGCUACUGUACUCAAUCUACUGUAUUUAAUUUGAUUAGUUAGCAUUUGGUUCUUGGUAGCACUACUGUGCUUACAAGUUGUACAGUAUCAUAUUAAUAGGUUUUGUAGUGUCUUAACUUAAGUAUUAUUGUAAAUGACUUUUACUUACUAGUUUACAUUUUGUUCUUAUUACAGGCAAUAUCUUAACAUUCAAACUUAUUGUUUUGUCUGUGAAGCACACAACUUUGAUCAUAUGAUAGUCAGUAGGGUAUAGCAAAAGUUUAUUAUAGCAAUUAUAGAUGAUGUUAAGUCAAUAAACAAAUGUCUUAUUAUCCAGUGGUAACAACAGCAUUACAGUUAAUGCAUUCAUUUUGGAAGAUAUUACCUAGAAUAUUGUCAGACACAGAAGAAAAACACUGGACCCAUAUAUAACCCAGGUAGUGGUUGGUAGAGAUACUACUUGAUAAUAGUAAUUUCGUGCUGCACUUUCACAAAGUUGGGAAACUCAUGUACCCUGCUUGAGUUUUAGUCCCCAAUAUGGGUCAAGUUCCAAAAACACAGAAUCCUACAGUUCCCAUAGUGUAAUUAGUGUUGUUUCUAUUGACCUUUCCUGGCUGGAAAAUGCCUGCAUCUAUCAAACUCUAUAUAUACCCCUAGUUUGAAACAGAUUUUGUGUUAUAAAUGUGUAGCCUCAUCAAAAAACAUAAUUUAAUACUUUUCAACAGUGGUUGGGAUAGUUUGAAAAGCUUUAGAAUAACCUGGAUUUUUUCAAACCAAUACGACUGUUACUGUUGAUCUCUGGAACCUGGUGGACUGUCCUCUUUCUCUAUCUCCCUGCCAUUUUUAUCCACAUUGUCAGGGUUAUUUUCUCAGACUUAACAAUGCUUCUCCAGUGCCACAGAAUAACAUGAUACAAUGCUGAGGAGGACUUAAAUUAGUUGUAGAGCGCCCUAUUUUCAUAAAAAUAUAGUAGUUCAAAUAUAUUUGAAAAAUAAGGCCCAUUCCUCUCAUAGGUCAGCAGAUCGUUACAGCAACAUAGACCCUAAUCACCUGUACAGUACAUCAGUACACACUGACACAUUAUGACAUACUUUAUAACACGCAGAACACACUUCUACCCUAACAUUUGCACGUGCACAUGCAGGUUUUAUCACCAGAGUCUGAAGCCAGCUGGAUGAUGUGCCAAACAGACUGAGAACCAACCAGAGCUCUCCAUGCUCAGCCAAUGGCAGCUGCUGAUACUGAUACCUGAGCCAACAGGAGCUCUCACUGCUAUGAGGUGGACAAGAAACUGUGAACAAAAACCUUACUUUUAAUAAAUAUACUGCACUGAUGAUGGCAAGAAAGACAUGAAGAAUGGAAACGAGGACGAUGAAGAGAACGUUUGCAUGUCACUUUGAGUUUUUUCUUUCAGAUGAACUUGUCAGCCUGAAGCUAUGUGCCUGGCUGUAGUUUAGUGUUUGAUAAUGAUAGUAAUAUGAAUAAUAUUAACAGUAUUAACUGCAGUAUUAAUGUGGUUCUUGUUAUGUAUAGUGUAUGCUUUUAAUAAUUCACUUCCGCUAUUUUCUUUCACCAGGAUGCUGUUAUUUGUGCUGCUAGUUAGAAGCUUGUUGGUUAGCUAAAAAGCUUCUCCCACAACAUGAUAAAUGCCCAAGAUGUUAAGGUAAAGUGAAGCUGCUUUCAUUUUCCUUGUUGACUCAUAUCAUUUUUUGCAAUGACCACUUAUGGUAAUUACCAUGACAUUUUCAUGGUGUUAUAAUCAAGUAAUCAAUCACUCAAUCAAUCAAGUUAUGAUGGAAUGGCUCCCAAACAUGUCAACCAGUAAGAGAAAUGUGAAAAUUAUUUCUGUUCACUUCACCUCUUGUAUAACUAAUUUGUAUUAAACUCAUCAAUUUUGACCAAAUCUUGUAAGUUGCUUUUCAACAGAUACAACUGAGUAUUGGAUUUGACACGUUAUACCAUUUUCAGUAUCUAUUAGACAUGUAUGCCCUCAAAAGUUUGUUCAUAAAAAACACACAGAGGGACUGUACUUUUUGUUCUAGGUGAAGUUUGAUGUUUUGAAAGCAUUUUGAUAUUACCCCACUUGUUGAAAGCUAAUCCUAUUCCUGGCCAAUAGGUGGCACUAUGUAUCUGCUGUCUACUUGAAAAGAGAACACAACAGAUUGUUCGUGCAUUUCAAGGUGUGAAAUGCAUGAACACAGUAAAGUAAUAUGAAAUGUUA